RNAcentral lists this ribosomal RNA (253 nucleotides) under uncultured bacterium. RNAcentral's name for it is "partial 16S ribosomal RNA". It matches the Rfam family "Bacterial small subunit ribosomal RNA", at positions 524 to 776 of the family's 1533-position model. The record is from RNAcentral.
UACAGAGGUCUCAACCGUUGUUCGGAUUCAUUGGGCGUAAAGAGCGCGUAGGCGGUCCGGUAAGUCAGCUGUGAAAGUCAGGGGCUCAACCCUUGAAAGCCGGUUGAUACUGUCGGGCUAGAGUCCGGAAGAGGCGAGUGGAAUUCCCGGUGUAGCGGUGAAAUGCGCAGAUAUCGGGAGGAACACCAAUGGCGAAGGCAGCUCGCUGGGACGGUACCGACGCUGAGGCGCGAAAGCGUGGGGAGCAAACAGG